RNAcentral lists this long non-coding RNA (12987 nucleotides) under Panicum hallii. RNAcentral's name for it is "long non-coding RNA (PHAL_LNC000811)". The stretch from base 4655 to 4727 matches the Rfam family "tRNA". Lineage: Eukaryota; Viridiplantae; Streptophyta; Magnoliopsida; Poales; Poaceae. The record is from RNAcentral.
UUUUUUUUUUAAUGAAAUUAGGAAUGAUUAUGAAAUAUCAAAUUCUGAAUUUUUUUUAGAAUUAUUGUGAAUCCAUUCCAAUCGAAUAUUGAGUAAUCAAAUCUUCAUUCAUUGUUUUGAGAUCUUCAAAAAAGUGGAUUAAUCGAACGAGGAUAAAGAGAGAGUCCCAUUCUACAUGUCAAUACUGACAACAAUGAAAUUUCUAGUAAAAGGAAAAUCCGUCGACUUUAUAAGUCGUGAGGGUUCAAGUCCCUCUAUCCCCAAACCCUCUUUUAUUCCCUAACCAUAGUAGUUAUCCUUUUUUUUUCUUUUAUCAAUGGGUUUAAGAUUCAUUAGCUUUCUCAUUCUACUCUUCACAAAGGAGUGCGACGAGAACUCAAUGAAUCUUAUGCUAUUCAUUAAAUAGAUGAUUUCUUUUUAUUUGAUAGGAUUACCCCGCCCAUUUCCAAAUUUAGAAUGGAAUACUUUAUUGAUUUUUUAGUCCCUUUAAUUGACAUAGAUGCAAAUACUCUACUAGGAUGAUGCACAAGAAAGGGUCAGGAUAGCUCAGUUGGUAGAGCAGAGGAUGAAAUCUCGUGUCACCAGUUCAAAUCUGGUUCCUGGCACAGAAAAAAAAGGAUCUACCGAAUAGAUAUUGAUACAAAUAUCUUGAGAUGGAUUGGGGUACAUAUUCAUUAAUAAUAUAGAUACUAUAGAGUAAGUAGAUAAAUCUCUAAACACUUCUUUUAAAAAAGGGUGAAAAUCUCUGGUUAUUUCUUUCUGGUUCUUUUCUUUAUGGUAUAGAUAUAGAAAGAGGGGAGAUUAGGUGCCCUUUUCUUUAUUUUUGCAUUUCUUAUUAAUUUUUUAUGCCGCUAUUCCAAAGAAUUUUUUUAUUCUUGCUUAUCCUACUUCCCUAGUUGUUCUAAGUAAUCUGCGCGGUACAAAGUUCGUGGUAGGAACUUCUUUGAGUCAUUGUAUUUUUAUGUUCAUACGAAGGAAACAAUAUGUGAUUUCCAAAUUGGAAAAUCGAAAUGAAGCCCUUUUUGUUCAGUCUAUCUGGAUCUUUUUGUAUAAUAUAAUAGGAAUUAAUUAGAAUAUAAUAAGUAUUUCGUUUCGUCUAGGAACAGAACGUAAAAAUAUUCCUUGACUUGAAUAAAAUCUGGAGUUGUGUUGUAUAAGUGAACAUGAAUUUAUUAUCAUUCAAUGAGCAUCUUGUAUUUCAUAGAAUUGGGGGUUAUAUAGUCCUUACGUAAGGGCCAGCCUAUCCAACUUUCAGGCAUUAAGAUACGUUUAAGACGUGGAUGAUUAUCAUAAGAAAUUCCCACCAUAUCAUAAGAUUCGCGUUCUUGAAAAUCGGCACUUCUCCAAACCCAGAAGACAGACGGAUUCUAGGAUUAUCUUUUUGGGCAAAGACUUUAUGCAUACUUCUUCUGGUUAUCUAUACCAUAUUGUAUUCUCGUAAGAUGAUACACGCUAGCUAAAGAUCCACCGGGUGCUACGUCAUAAGCACAUUGGGAACGUAAAUAAUUGUAACCAUAUACAUAUAAAAUGACAGCAAUGGAAUCCCAAUCCCCCGCUUUUAUUUGUAAAGUCUCUAUUCCUCGGUGAUCGAAGCCCAAAGAUCUAUGAACCACCUCAUGUUUGACUAGCCAAUUAGAUAACCAACCCUGCUGCAUUGUCUUGAUCUCUCCCCUUUGUAUAAAUAUUUCACAUUUCAAAUGCAAGUUUGAAAGAUUGCACUGCUCUUUCUUUUUCUGCACAAAAGAACCCCUCCUAAUUCACUAAUUUGUAGGAAGAUAUUGGACUUUUGGAUUUGAAAAGAGUUUCAGAAGAUAUAUCUAAAGUAGAUGGUGAUUGAUAGAGCAAUUCUUGUUCGUAAGUUCCAGUGUGAGUACUGCGCCGAACAUAAAGCUUGUGACGGGUAGUAAAAGAUCUAUUUUUCUUUUGACUUUGACAUAGAGUUCGAUCCUCAACUAUUUCUCGCGAUAUCUUCUUACGAAGUUUGUUAGGGCAUCUAUAACAGCCUCUGGUUUAGGCGGGCAACCCGGUAGGUAGACAUCCACAGGAAUUAACUUAUCAACUCCUCGAACAGUACUAUAGGAAUCCGUACUGAACAUUCCGCCUGUAAUAGUACAGGCUCCCAUAGCAAUGACGUAUUUCGGUUCAGGCAUUUGCUCAUAUAAUCGCACUAAAGAUGGAGCCAUUUCAUGUUACCGUACCAGCUGUUAAAAUUAGGUCCGCUUGCCUAGGACUUGAUCUUGGUACCAAUCCAUAACGAUCAAAGUCGAAUCGUGAGCCUAUUAAUGAAGCAAAUUCAAUGAAACAACAACUGGUACCAUAUAGAAGGGGCCAUAAACUGGAGAGUCUUGACCAAUUCGAAAGAUCGUUUGGUGUAGUUGAAAUAACGGAAUUGGAACUUGUUUGGUCGAGUAACGGAAACUCAAUCAAACUCAUAAUUGUCUCAAUGGAAUCUUUUCCUUCUUUUUUUUUUUUUGUUUGAAUAUUCAGUUAAGACCAUUCCAAGGCUCCUUUUCGCCAUGCAUAAACUAAACCAACAACUAGGAUAAGCACAAAAAUGAAAGCUUCGAUAAAAACGGAUACACCUAAUACGUCGAAACUCAUUGCCCAAGGGUAGAGAAAGACCGUUUCCACAUCAAAAACAACAAAAACUAGCGCAAACAUGUAAUAGCGUAUUCGGAAUUGUAACCAAGCCCCCCCAUGGGUUCUAUACCCGAUUCAUAACUAGAAAGCUUCUCUGGUCCUUCACUAACAGGGGCUAAAAGUCCUGAAAUCCAAAAUACCAAAAUAGGAAUAAGGCUUGCUAUUAUUAGAAAUGUCCAAAAAAUAUCAUAUUCGUGAAGCAGAAACAUAAAUGUACUCCCAUUAAUGUGGAAUAGGCGGAACUGAAUUAGUCAAUUCAAGUUGACAUGACAUUGUCAAUUUAUCCAGAACUUCUCUCUUUUCCUCGGUGAAACAAGAAUCUGUUUUGCUCAAACCAAAGGCAAAAAGCGGCUUACUUUAGCCUUUGUUUCUUUUGUAACAUGUCUCUCCUUAAGGAUUCAUCCAAUGGAAUCCCCAUUCCCUUUUUUUUUGAUUCCUCUUCUAUUUAGAUAUGAUAUAGACCUAAUUCUUAUACAAAGAAAACUCUUUCGCUUCACUUUGUCUCGCUUUCUCUAAAAUCUUUAGAAAAAAGAAUUACUCCACCCUUUAUUUAAUGAUAGUCAUAGACUAUUAAAUAAAAAAUAAACUACUUACUACUAAUUAGAUUAGAACCUAAUUAAAAUGGGAUAACUAAUGUAUGCAUCCUAAUGAGGAGUAAUACUAAAAAAAAAGAACUCUAUUUCAGAAUUAUGAAACAGAAUAUCUAGUUUUAUUAUUUACUCUUUCUUUUUUUUUCUUUCGAUUUUUUCUAUUUUAUUUAAAGUGGAUCGAUUUAGAUAAUGUAUAUAUAGUAAUAUACUUCAAACAAAAUAGGAAUUCGCAAAAUGGAGAAAAUCGUUGCAGUCAUUAUAGAAAAGUAUAGGACUUAGAGCAUAUCCUAUUUGAAGGAGGAUGGAAUUCAAAUCAGUUAAGGGACCCUUCCUCCCUUCUAUUGAUUUGAUCAAAAUUCUUUUUUCUUUUCCUGUCUCUAUGAUUUUCCAUGAAUGGAGCCUAUGGUAAUGCUUUUAUCUCUAUUCUAUGGCGCAAUCGACCGUCGAGUCUAUAAACAAGUACUAAAUAAGGAAAUAUGGAAAAAACUAUACUAAAGGAAACACAAGAUAUCCAUCCUAAAAUGAAAAAAAAAGACGUAUAUAUUAGGGCUAUACGGAUUCGAACCGUAGACCUUCUCGGUAAAACAGAUCAAACGGAUUAUUAUCGAAAUGAUUCGAACUGUUUCAAAGACCCAACAUGCAUUUUUUUUUCUGCAUUGGGCUCUUUCAUCAACUGAUGUAAAGAUCGGUUAAUCCGCCAUAGUUUUUCUUUAGGGAAAAAUAAUAAGAUGGCUCCCUGUGCUCUGAUUGAUUAUUUUUCUUAAUAUCUAUCUAGGAGCAAUACCAAAGUGUUUCAAAGGAGGAUUACCUUGACUUAGGUCUGCCUCCGGCCUAAAUUAAAUCAACCUAAGUGAAAUGGAGUCUCUAUCGUUCCGCUGCAAGAGUUUACUAUGAGACUUCAUACACCUUAAAGUUCAUAGAACGAAAAGAAGUUUUUUGGAGGCCCUUAUCCUCAUUACGCCUAGCAUUGAGUGGGCUGGAUAUUUACCUUAUCAACUAGCAAAUCAAUAGGGGUUCCAUUUGAUUAAGCACCUGAAUUGGCACCUGAAUCGGACUGAACCGACUGUUUGUCAGGCUAUUGUUCUCCUAUUCUUUCGAAUCCAUGAAGUAAGACAUUGAUUUUGCAAUAAGUUCAAUUAUGUUCAUUGCAUAAUAAGUUCCCUUGAAAAGCAUUGGCGCACGUGUAAGCGAGUUGCUCUACCGAACUGAGCUAUAGCCCUUGUCAGAGAUAUCUUAACAUAUAGAUAAUUUCUUGUCAAGAUGAAUAUUCUCUAAUGCCAGAGGAUAUUCCUUUGAUUUACUAUAUAAUAUAAACAUACCAAUAACAUAACAUAAACAUACCAAUAAUGGAGGGGUAUUGCUUAUAAAAAGGAUUCGAUCUAUAAUCGAUCGAAGUAAUGGGGCUUCUUUUGUGGUGAUAAAUUGCCUACUUAACUCAGUGGUUAGAGUAUUGCUUUCAUACGGCGGGAGUCAUUGGUUCAAAUCCAAUAGUAGGUAGGUAGGUAGAAAAAUUACUAGAUAGCAUUGGGCUUACUUCGCUUCGCUAUCUAAUAACUUUUUCUACCCUUCUUUCCUUUUUCUUUGUAUCAACGAAACCUUUGGAUUGUCUUCAAUUGGAUGGGGGAAUCCAAUUGACAGCCUCGACUCGUAUCCUAGCUCGUCUGAGAGCUAGCUUCGCUUCAACCAAUUCUUUCGUACCCUCAGCUCUACUCAAGUUAGCUUCGGCUAUUUCAAGUGCCUGUUGAGCUUCUUCUGGAUCAAUGUCACUACCGAGUUCUGCAUCAUUUCCUAAAAUGAUGAUCUCAUUAUUAACUAUUCUCGCAAAACCACUCCACAGAACCGCCGUUAACCAUUGGUCGUCGAGGAGGCGUAUUCUCAAAGGACCCAUAUCUACAGCUGUGUUAAUGGGGGCGUGGUUUGGUAAUACACCAAUUUGGCCACUAUUAGUAGAUAAAAUGAUUUCUUUCACUUCACAAUCCCAAAUAAUUCGUUUAGGAGUCAGUACAUAAAGAUUUAAUUUCAUUUCGUCAAUUUGCUCUCCUCUUCUAAGUUUAUAGCUUUCGUGCUAGCUUCAUCGAUGUUCCCCACCAAAUAAAAAGCCUGUUCGGGUAGGCCGUCUAAUUCUCCGGAAAGGAUUAGUUGAAAUCCCCUAAUUGUUUCUGCAAGACCAACAUACUUUCCUGGGGAACCGGUAAAAACUUCUGCCACAAAGAAUGGUUGUGAUAAGAACCGCUCGAUUUUUCGCGCUCUUGCUACAGUUAAACGAUCCUCCUCCGAUAAUUCGUCCAACCCAAGAAUUGCGAUAAUGUCCUGAAGUUCUUUGUAACGUUGUAAAGUUUCCUUAACUCUUUGCGCAGUUUCAUAAUGUUCGUUGCCAACGAUCCGAGGCUGUAACAUCGUUGAGGUUGAAUCUAAAGGAUCUACUGCGGGAUAAAUACCCUUGGAAGCCAAUCCUCUGGAAAGUACGGUAGUAGCGUCCAAAUGUGCAAAUGUUGUGGCAGGAGCAGGGUCGGUCAAAUCGUCUGCAGGUACAUAAACAGCUUGGAUCGAAGUUAUAGAUCCCUUUUUGGUAGAAGUAAUUCUUUCUUGCAAAGAACCCAUUUCUGUACUAAGGGUAGGUUGAUAACCCACUGCGGAGGGCAUUCUCCCUAAUAAGGCGGAUACUUCCGAUCCUGCUUGAACAAAACGAAAGAUAUUAUCGAUGAAUAAAAGCACGUCUUGCUUAUUAACAUCUCGGAAAUAUUCUGCCAUAGUUAGGGCAGUUAAACCAACUCUCAUACGAGCUCCCGGUGGUUCAUUCAUUUGGCCAUAGACUAGAGCUACUUUUGAUUCCUCAAUAUUUUUUUCAUUAAUUACUCCAGAUUCCUUCAUUUCCAUAUAAAGAUCAUUUCCUUCACGAGUCCGUUCCCCUACUCCACCAAAUACGGAUACGCCUCCAUGAGCUUUAGCAAUGUUAUUGAUUAAUUCCAUGAUGAGUACUGUUUUACCUACUCCUGCCCCCCCCAAAUAGUCCGAUUUUUCCUCCACGUCGAUAAGGAGCUAAAAGAUCGACCACCUUAAUACCUGUUUCAAAGAUAGAUAAUUUCGUAUCUAACUCGAUAAAGGCAGGCGCAGAUCUAUGAAUAGGGAAUGUUGCACUAGUAUCUACAGGACCCAAAUUGUCAAUAGGCUCCCCCAGAACGUUAAAAAUUCGUCCGAGAGUAGUUCCACCGACUGGAACACUGAGAGGAGCUCCCGUGUCAAUCACUUCCAUUCCUCUCAUCAACCCGUCUGUAGCACUCAUAGCUACAGCUCUAACUCGAUUAUUUCCUAAUAAUUGUUGUACCUCACAAGUCACAUUAAUUUGCUUAUCGCAGUGUCUCGACUCUUGACUAUCAAAGCGUUAUAAAUAUAAGGCAACUUGCCCGGGGGAAAAGUGAUAUCCAGCACGGGUCCAAUAAUUUGAUCAAUACGCCCUGUGCUUUUUUCUUCAAUUGUGGAAACCCCGGCACGCGAAGUAGUAGGAUUGGUUCUCAUAAUUAUCACAUAAUUUUCAAAAAAAAGGAAUUUGUCGAAAUUUUUCUUUUUUUCUUGUUGAAUAAUGCCAAAUCAAAUCAAAAAAAAUAUCCAAAAAUCCAAAACUAAAAAGGAAAUGAAUUAGUUAAUUCAAUAAAAAAGAAAAGGGGACUAGCACUUGAUUUCGUUGCCCAAGCGAAUCCCAUUCAAUCGUUUACUUAUGGAAUGAGUCCGUUGGAAAGUUCAAUCAAUCUUUUUUUUCAUAUAAAUUUUGCCUUUUGUGAAGGAUCUGUGCCUACUCUACCUUCCUAUCUAGGACUUCGAUAUACAAAAUAUAUACUACUGUGAAGCAUAGAUUGCUGUCAACAGAGAAUUUUCUUAGUAUUUAGGUAUUUAGAUUCAAAAUAUCAAAGGGGCCUAUUAAGAACUUUCAAAAUUUUUAAAUAAGGAUUAGGGAUUGGUUUGGGUUGCGCUAUAUCUAUCAAAGAGUAUACAAUAAUGAUGGAUUUAGUGAAUCAAAUCCAUGGUUUAAUAACGAACCGUGUUAACUUACCAUAACAACAACUCAAUUCCUAUCGAAUUCUUUUCCUAUCGAAUUCCUCUUUUCCUAUCGAAUUCCUCUUUUCCUAUCGAAUUCCUAUAGUAGAAUUUCUAUAGGAUAGAACGUACACACGGUGUACGCAUUAUAUAUGAAUGAAACAUAUUCAUUAACUUAAGCAUACUCCUUUUUUUUUAGAUUUUUGCAAAGGUUUCAUUUACGCCUAAUCCAUAUCGAGUAGACCCUGUCGUUGUGAGAAUUCUUAAUUCAUGAGUUGUAGGGAGGGACUUAUGUCACCACAAACAGAAACUAAAGCAAGUGUUGGAUUUAAAGCUGGUGUUAAGGAUUAUAAAUUGACUUACUACACCCCGGAGUACGAAACCAAGGAUACUGAUAUCUUGGCAGCAUUCCGAGUAACUCCUCAGCCCGGGGUUCCGCCUGAAGAAGCAGGGGCUGCAGUAGCUGCGGAAUCUUCUACUGGUACAUGGACAACUGUUUGGACUGAUGGACUUACCAGUCUUGAUCGUUACAAAGGACGAUGCUAUCACAUCGAGCCCGUUCCUGGAGCAGAUCAAUAUAUCUGUUAUGUAGCUUAUCCAUUAGACCUAUUUGAAGAGGGUUCUGUUACUAACAUGUUUACUUCCAUUGUGGGUAACGUAUUUGGUUUCAAAGCCCUACGCGCUCUACGUUUGGAGGAUCUACGAAUUCCCAUUGCUUAUGCAAAAACUUUCCAAGGUCCGCCUCACGGUAUCCAAGUUGAAAGGGAUAAGUUGAACAAGUAUGGUCGUCCUUUAUUGGGAUGUACUAUUAAACCAAAAUUGGGAUUAUCCGCAAAAAAUUACGGUAGAGCGUGUUAUGAGUGUCUACGCGGUGGACUUGAUUUUACCAAAGAUGAUGAAAACGUAAACUCACAACCAUUUAUGCGCUGGAGAGACCGUUUUGUCUUUUGUGCUGAAGCAAUUUAUAAAGCACAAGCCGAAACCGGUGAAAUCAAGGGGCAUUACUUGAAUGCGACUGCAGGUACAUGCGAAGAAAUGAUUAAGAGAGCUGUAUUUGCAAGGGAAUUAGGGGUUCCUAUUGUAAUGCAUGACUACAUAACUGGAGGAUUCACCCAAAUACUAGUUUGGCUCAUUAUUGCCGCGACAACGGCCUACUUCUUCACAUUCACCGAGCAAUGCAUGCAGUUAUUGAUAGACAGAAAAAUCAUGGUAUGCAUUUCCGUGUAUUAGCUAAAGCAUUGCGUAUGUUGGGGGGAGAUCAUAUCCACGCCGGUACAGUAGUAGGUAAGUUAGAAGGGGAACCGAAAUAACUUUAGGUUUUGUUGAUUUAUUGCGCGAUGAUUUCAUUGAAAAAGAUCGUUCUCGCGGUAUCUUUUUCACUCAGGACUGGCAUCCAUGCCAGGUGUUAUACCGGUGGCUUCAGGGGGUAUUCAUGUUUGGCAUAUGCCAGCUCUGACCGAAAUCUUUGGAGACGAUUCCGUAUUACAAUUUGGUGGAGGAACCUUAGGACAUCCUUGGGGAAAUGCACCUGGUGCAGCAGCUAAUCGUGUGGCUUUAGAAGCCUGUGUACAAGCUCGUAACGAAGGGCGCGAUCUUGCUCAUGAAGGUAAUGAAAUUAUCAAAGCAGCUUGCAAAUGGAGUCCUGAACUAGCCGCAGCUUGUGAAGUAUGGAAGGCGAUCAAAUUUGAUUUCGCGCCGGUGGAUACCAUAGAUUAAGUAGAUAAAACUAGAUAUAAAGAAGGUCUAAAUAAAAUAAAAAAGAAGCAAAAUAGAAAAAGAAAAAAUCAGUUACGAAAUGCAGUAAUUCUUCUUUAUUCUUCUAAUUGAUUGCAAUUAAAUUCGGCUCAAUCUUUUUUUUUAGAAAAGAUUGAGCCGAAUUUAAAUAGAUCUUGAUACGAUCAUGAGACUUGACAAAUCGAGAUCCUUCUAUUCUAUAUAUCUAGAAUAUAGAAAGGUAUAAUACAAUAAACAAAUAGAAAUCAAAAUAUAGUAUUAUCAUACGAUAAUGGAAUCAAAUACGCAGUAUUUACAGAAAAGAGUCUUCGUUUAUUGGGAAAGAAUCAAUAUACUUUUAAUGUUGAAUCAGGAUUCACUAAGACAGAAAUAAAGCAUUGGGUCGAACUCUUCUUUGGUGUUAAGGUAGUAGCUGUGAAUAGCCAUCGACUACCCGGAAAGGGUAGAAGAAUGGGACCUAUUCUGGGACAUACAAUGCAUUACAGAUGUAUGAUCAUUACCCUUCAACUGGGUAUUCUAUUCCACUUCUACUUUUUAAAUUAAAGUAAAAUUAAAGGGUAUUCUGAAAGAGGUAUUUCUUUUAUUUUCACCAUAGUUUUCUUUUGAAUCCAAUUUCAAGUUCGAUUAGAAGGAUAGAAAGGCGAUGAGAAUGGGAAAAGAAAAAUCCAAUAUUUUUAAUUAGUUCCCCUUUUUUGCAAUUUUCUUAUUAUCUAUUCCAUUCAUUUUUUUUAUAUCUAUAAAAAGUAUUCUAAAAAAAUAGUAUUCUAUACAAAAUCUUUAUUUUGUAAACUAAAAAAUACAAUAGUCAAUAUUCCUUAUAAUAGAUAUACUUAAUUAUAUCAUAAGAAUCUUAAGAUAUAUUUCGAAUAGAUAGAAAUAGUAAAUUUUAAUUGAGACACAUAUUCUAUGACAGAUUUUAACUUACCCUCUAUUUUCGUGCCUUUAGUAGGCUUAGUAUUUCCGGCAAUUGCAAUGGCUUCCUUAUUUCUUUAUGUGCAGAAAAAUAAGAUUGUCUAGAAACGGGGGGCCAAAUUUUCUUAAUGUAUUUCCAGGAUCAUAAUACAGAUAUUUUUUUGUGUAAGUAAUAUAAUAUGAUAGGGUAUGUAGCUCUUUCUACACACAAAUGAAAAACGUCUAUGGAUGCAGAUAUAGGCUACGAGCAUAAAUGCAUGCAUAUGCGUAGCCAAGUAUAGCGAGUUUUUUUUAAGUGGAUCCACAAAUUGAAUUCUUUUUGAAUAGAAAGUCAAUGUAUCUAACCAAUUAUUUCACAGGAGUACUAGCUACUGAAGGCUAUUUCAGAAUAAAAAAAAGUAAAAAUCAUUUAGCUUAUUCUCUCAAUUUCAAUUGACCGCUACUGGAUUUAGUAUAUCUAAUAUGAAUUGGCGAUCAGAACACAUAUGGAUAGAACUUCUAAAAGGUUCUCGAAAAAGAGGUAAUUUUUUCUGGUCCUGUAUUCUUUUUCUAGGUUCAUUAGGAUUCUUAGCGGUUGGGGCUUCCAGUUAUCUUGGUAAGAAUAUGAUAUCCGUACUUCCAUCUCAACAAAUUCUUUUUUAUCCACAGGGGGUCGUGAUGUCUUUCUACGGAAUCGCGGGCCUAUUCAUUAGCUCCUAUUUGUGGUGCACUAUUUUAUGGAAUGUAGGCAGUGGUUAUGACCGAUUCGAUAGAAAAGAGGGAAUAGUGUGCAUUUUUCGUUGGGGAUUCCCUGGAAUAAAACGUCGCAUCUUCCUUCGAUUCCUUGUGCGGGAUAUCCAAUCAAUUCGAAUUCAGGUUAAAGAGGGUCUUUAUCCUCGUCGUAUCCUUUAUAUGGAAAUCCGGGGCCAGGGGGUCAUUCCCUUGACUCGUACUGAUGAUAAGUUUUUUACUCCACGAGAAAUGGAACAAAAAGCUGCCGAAUUGGCCUAUUUCUUGCGCGUGCCAAUUGAAGUAUUUUGAAUACCAAUUGCAUUGCAAUUGUAAGGGGAUUUUCGAGUAUUUAUCUAAAGGAAGGCACAAACGAGGAUAAGAGAAAAUUGCUUCUAAUUUUUUUUGUCCAAGUAAGAUAUAUGGCAUAAUAUUCUUCCAUUUUUAUAUGAAAGGCCUUUUUUUUAUUUCUCUAUUCCACUCCAUUUAGAUCUAAGAAAGAACCCAAUACAAUGAAAUUCCACUAGUAUACAAAAAGAGAAAUGGAUACAAACACAAGGUCUCUUGUUAUAGAAUUUUUGUUUCAAAGAAAAUAAAUAUCAUAUAUAUUCAGCGAAUGAAAUAGAGUCGGCAAAUGAAGCGGAUUCAUUAACAACUCAAUUUACAGAUCAAAAAUGAAAAAAAAGAAAGCAUUGCCUUCUUUCCUAUAUCUUGUAUUUAUCGUACUUUUGCCCUGGGGAGUCUCUUUCUCUUUUAACAAAUGUCUGGAACUUUGGAUUAAGAAUUGGUGGAAUACCAGGCAAUCCGAAACUUUCUUAACUGAUAUUCAAAAGAAAAGGAUUCAUAGAAUUAGAAGAACUUUUUCUCUUGGAUGAAAUGAUAAAAGAGAAACCAAGACACAUGUACAAAAACCUCCUAUAGGAAUACACAAGGAAAUAACACAAUUGGCCAAAAUAGAUAAUGAGGAUCAUCUCCAUAGCAUUUUACAUUUCUCAACAAAUAUAAUCUGUUUGGCUAUUCUAAGUGGUUCUUUUUUUCUGGGUAAAGAAGAACUUGUCAUUUUGAAUUCUUGGGUUUAGGAAUUUUUCUAUAACUUAAAUGACUCAAUAAAAGCUUUUUUUAUUCUUUUAGUUACUGAUUUUUUUGUUGGAUUUCACUCCACCCGCGGUUGGGAACUACUAAUUCGUUGGGUCUACAACAAUUUUGGAUGGGCUCCUAACGAGCUAAUUUUCACUAUUUUUGUUUGUAGUUUUCCUGUUAUUCUAGACACGUGUUUGAAAUUUUGGGUCUUUUUUUGUUUACACCGUCUAUCUCCUUCACUUGUAGUCAUUUAUCAUUCAAUUAGUGAAGCAUAAACUCACUCAUUUGAUUUCUAAUAUUUUUCCUAAUAUUAAUCAAAUUAGCAUAUUUCUUACUUUAGAAAGAAAGCCUUUUCCUUUUUAGCAAAAUUCUUUCUAUUUCUACCUGCUCAAGGUAUUCAUCAUUCCAGUACAACUGUUGCAGUAGAAUGACAACAGACUCGUGUAUAGGGAACUAGAUUAGCUUAGCUACCUAUCUAAUUUAUUGUAGAAAUUCCGGGAUCCGCGAUUGGACAUGGAAAAUAGAAAUACUUUUUCUUGGUUAAAAGAACAGAUGAUUCGAUCGAUUUCUGUAUUGAUCAUGAUAUACGUAAUAACUCGCACAUCUAUUUCAAAUGCAUAUCCCAUUUUUGCGCAGCAGGGUUAUGAAAACCCACGGGAAGCAACUGGACGAAUUGUAUGUGCCAAUUGCCAUUUAGCUAAUAAGCCUGUGGAUAUUGAGGUCCCCCAAGCAGUGCUUCCUGAUACUGUAUUUGAAGCAGUUCUUCGAAUCCCUUAUGAUAUGCAGCUGAAACAAGUUCUUGCUAAUGGUAAAAAGGGAGGGUUGAAUGUGGGUGCUGUUCUUAUUUUGCCCGAGGGAUUCGAAUUAGCGCCGCCCGAUCGUAUUUCUCCUGAGUUGAAAGAAAAGAUAGGAAAUCUCUCUUUUCAGAGUUAUCGUCCCAAUAAAAAAAUAUUCUUGUGAUAGGCCCUGUUCCCGGUAAGAAAUAUAGGAAAUUGUCUUUCCCAUUCUUUCCCCCGAUCCCGCUACGAAAAAAGAUGUUCAUUUCUUAAAAUACCCCAUAUAUGUAGGGGGAAACCGAGGAAGGGGACAGAUCUAUCCUGAUGGUAGCAAGAGUAACAAUACGGUCUAUAAUGCUACAUCAACAGGUAUAGUAAAAAUAUACUAUGUAAAGAAAAGGGGGGAUAUGAAAUAUCCAUAGUCGAUGCGUCGGAUGGACGCCAAGUGAUUGAUAUUAUACCUCCCGGGCCAGAACUUCUAGUUUCAGAGGGGGAAUCGAUCAAGCUGGAUCAAC